RNAcentral lists this ribosomal RNA (484 nucleotides) under uncultured bacterium. RNAcentral's name for it is "partial 16S ribosomal RNA". It matches the Rfam family "Bacterial small subunit ribosomal RNA", at positions 30 to 507 of the family's 1533-position model. The record is from RNAcentral.
AUUGAACGCUGGCGGCAGGCCUAACACAUGCAAGUCGAGCGGAUGAAGGGAGCUUGCUCCUGGAUUCAGCGGCGGACGGGUGAGUAAUGCCUAGGAAUCUGCCUGGUAGUGGGGGAUAACGUCCGGAAACGGGCGCUAAUACCGCAUACUUCCUGAGGGAGAAAGUGGGGGAUCUUCGGACCUCACGCUAUCAGAUGAGCCUAGGUCGGAUUAGCUAGUUGGUGGGGUAAAGGCCUACCAAGGCGGCGAUCCGUAACUGGUCGGAGAGGAGGAUCAGUCACACGGGAACUGAGCCACGGUCCAGACUCCUACGGGAGGGAGCAGUGGGGAAUAUUGGACAAUGGGCGAAAGCCUGAUCCAGCCAUGCCGCGUGUGUGAAGAAGGUCUUCGGAUUGUAAAGAACUUUAAGUUGGGAGGAAGGGCAGUAAGUUAAUACCUUGCUGUUUUGACGGUACCAACAGAAUAAGCACCGGCUAACUUCGUG